Molecule: ribosomal RNA, 141 nt
Filed under: uncultured bacterium
Lineage: Bacteria
Description: partial 16S ribosomal RNA
Rfam family: Bacterial small subunit ribosomal RNA
Source: RNAcentral
GCCAUGCCGCGUGUGUGAAGAAGGUCUUCGGAUUGUAAAGCACUUUAAGUUGGGAGGAAGGGCAGUAAGUUAAUACCUUGCUGUUUUGACGUUACCAACAGAAUAAGCACCGGCUAACUUCGUGCCAGCAGCCGCGGUAAU